Molecule: ribosomal RNA, 312 nt
Filed under: Triticum aestivum (bread wheat)
Lineage: Eukaryota; Viridiplantae; Streptophyta; Magnoliopsida; Poales; Poaceae
Description: partial small subunit ribosomal RNA
Source: RNAcentral
AUGGACAAGUACACGAUUCGCAUCCUUGCACUAGGAGCCCUAGUGUGUCUACAUCUCGUAUGCUCUGCUACUGUUGCUCAAUGCCGAAUCAUGGCUGACACAGAUAGCAAGAAGAUCGUUAUACCGCACGGGCUAUGUGUUGACGUAGGUCCUAACGAUUGUGGGGACGGUGGUUGCUUCCAUUGUUUGGUAAAUAGUGUCUUCUACCGCUCUAUGGAUGAGUGCAAGAGAAAGUGUAACACAUCCUCGUCUUGGCAAGGCAUGCUAGUGGCCAUGACUACGUCCUCUCCUCCUCCUUUACCCGCUCCUUAA